RNAcentral lists this small RNA (753 nucleotides) under Pongo abelii (Sumatran orangutan). Its description in RNAcentral is "processed transcript". Lineage: Eukaryota; Metazoa; Chordata; Mammalia; Primates; Hominidae. The record is from RNAcentral.
AGUCCGCGGAACGGGGAGAUCGUUGGCACCUUCGCUUUUUUAGGGGAACGGGGAUAGUUCGCCAUGGAGCCAGAGAGGGAAGGGACCGAGAGACACCCCAGGAAGGUCAGGAAAAGGAGGCAGGCCCCAAACAAGCUGGUCGGGGCGGCUGAGGCGAUGAAAGCUGGUUGGGAUCUCGAGGAGAGUCAGCCCGAGGCCAAGAAAGCCCGCUUAUCUACCAUUUUAUUUACUGACAACUGUGAAGUAACCCAUGACCAGCUGUGUGAAUUGCUGAAGUAUGCAGUUCUGGGCAAAUCCAAUGUUCCAAAACCCAGCUGGUGUCAGCUUUUUCAUCAAAACCACCUAAACAACGUAGUGGUUUUUGUUCUGCAGGGAAUGAGUCAGCUACACUUUUACAGGUUCUAUUUGGAGUUUGGAUGUCUUCGAAAAGCAUUCAGACAUAAAUUCCGCUUGCCUCCACCAUCAUCUGAUUUUCUAGCUGACGUUGUUGGGCUACAAACUAAACAAAGAGCUGAAGAUCUGCCCGAGACAAUGGAAGGGCCUUUACCUUCUAAUGCAAAAGCUGCCAUCAACCUUCAGAAUGACCCCAUCAUUCAAAAGUAUGGCUCUAAGAAAGUGGGCUUGACCAGAUGCCUUCUGACAAAAGAGGAAAUGAGAACGUUUCACUUUCCAUUACAAGUGCCUCACAUCCAAGGGGAGAGAGCUAACACGCAUCUCACUGGUUGCUGAAGGAGGCUGCUGUGUUAUGGAUGA